RNAcentral lists this ribosomal RNA (254 nucleotides) under uncultured bacterium. RNAcentral describes it as "partial 16S ribosomal RNA". It matches the Rfam family "Bacterial small subunit ribosomal RNA", at positions 524 to 776 of the family's 1533-position model. The record is from RNAcentral.
UACGGAGGGUGCAAGCGUUAUCCGGAUUCACUGGGUUUAAAGGGUGUGUAGGCGGGUAUUUAAGUCAGUGGUGAAAAUCUCCGAGCUCAACUCGGAAACUGCCAUUGAUACUAUUAUCUUGAAUAUUGUUGAGGUAGGCGGAAUAUGUCAUGUAGCGGUGAAAUGCUUAGAUAUGACAUAGAACACCGAUUGCGAAGGCAGCUUGCUAAACAAUUAUUGACGCUGAGGCACGAAAAGCGUGGGGAUCAAACAGG